Molecule: long non-coding RNA, 1619 nt
Organism: Parus major (Great Tit)
Lineage: Eukaryota; Metazoa; Chordata; Aves; Passeriformes; Paridae
Exons: 2
Source: RefSeq, a predicted model, not a curated record
UCACGCGGUGAUGGCGCAGGAAGCUCGGAGCGGCGGCUGGAACGGCAGGGCGGGCUCGGCCGGGCGGCCAGCAAGAGGCAGCAGAAACUGGCCCCUUGUGCCAGGAGCCGCGGGCUGUCCCGGCAGGCGGGCAGUGUGCGGCUACAGCGUAGCAAAAACCCGGAGCAGUGGCAGCGAGACGGCGGGCCCGGGCAGCCGCGGCCUGGCUCCCGAACACGGCCGGGAGAGACUCCCCUGGAGGAGGAAGGGGCCCGGGAUCCAGGGCUUUCCCUUGAGACAGCCGAGCAGACGGUGAAGGGUCCUUUUUAACUGAGGUCUGGUGUUGAUAAGGCUCCAGUGCAACAGCCGCUGCCUCAAGCACAGCUUGGCUCCGGGGAGGAGAAGGCAGCAGGAGACGGAGCCUCGCAGCGCUGGCGAACUCUCCCCACAGUGACCGCAGCCGGCUUCCCCUCCGACACCGAGAGAGCGAGAGCGGGGAGCUGCACCCAAUCCACUUCCCCCAGCCAAACCUCGGCUGUCUCUGCCCCUCAGAUAAGACAAGUGCAGCCAGGUACACUCCUCCUCCUUGAGAGGUGCACCUUUUCUCUCUCCUAAGAACUGGUCGUUAUUGUCUCUUAGCAACAAAUGGGACAAAAUUCCAUUAUAGAAAGAACCAAAAGGAAAAGACCUAACCCCUAACAAAUACUGUUGCAAUCCGCUCCCGGGGGACCCCUCUGUGCUACCCCCGCGGUGAGAGUCCUGCUCUUCACGGAACACGGGCUGGGGAGAGGUCCUGGAGUGGAUAGAACACGGACUAAACGUAUCUAGACACAGGAGGCCCAAACUUGCUUGGAAUAAUCCCGGGUUUAUUGCAUGUCGUCCAUCCGGGGCAAGAAAGAGACCAAAAUGCCCUGGGUCUUAUCUCUUAUACUAAGGGGCGGGGGUGAUCGGGAGAUACAGGGAAGUUACGGCCAAUGGGACAGGGGAGAAGGAAAAGGUUCUCAGGUAGGAACUAACAUUACACAGACCGAAGGUGACUUUUACCCUUGGGAUAUACCGUGAUUUUUUGAUGCGCUACAACAAAACCAAGGCAAAUGUCUGGGUAAAGUACAGGCCCCAGGAAACUGGGCUGCAAGGUUGAAAUCCAGUCAGUAUUUCAAGAGACUUGGAAAGGAGUGGGCAGCUGAGAUGUGUUAGGGCCCAAGUUUGAGGUGGUAGCAAGGCCAUGGUGGGGGAAGCCCCCCUGUAAUGUCCCUGACUCAUCCCUGGUAAUUGCAAACAGGUGACACCCAUAGGGAAUUUCAGCAGGUGAGCAUUGCAGCACCUGGAACUCGUAACGAGGUAACGGACCAGGCUGACCAGAAGCAAGGAGGAAUUAGGGGAACUGUUCUGAUGUGUUGCUUCAGAAGAGAGGAACCUCUGCAAAAGCCUCAGAAGAAGUAUGGAUGUUUGAUCAUUUGAACAAGAACGGCUCAGGAACUGAAGAGUUAUAUCUGACACCAGAGUCCAUCAGACAAAGUCCUUACAAACACAGGAGUCCUGAAGACAUCGGCUGAAUGUUUUCCUGGUAUAAAGAAGAAGAGGAGGAGGAGGUGGUGACAGUGCAGGCGCAGUGGGUUUGGACAGGGGCAGAGGGCACG